Molecule: ribosomal RNA, 410 nt
Filed under: Atopobium sp. enrichment culture
Lineage: Bacteria; Bacillati; Actinomycetota; Coriobacteriia; Coriobacteriales; Atopobiaceae
Description: bacterial SSU rRNA
Rfam family: Bacterial small subunit ribosomal RNA
Source: RNAcentral
UGGGGAAUCUUGCACAAUGGGCGAAAGCCUGAUGCAGCGACGCCGCGUGCGGGAUGAAGGCCUUCGGGUUGUAAACCGCUUUCAGCAGGGAAGAGGCCGCAAGGUGACGGUACCUGCAGAAGAAGCCCCGGCUAACUACGUGCCAGCAGCCGCGGUAAUACGUAGGGGGCAAGCGUUAUCCGGAUUCAUUGGGCGUAAAGCGCUCGUAGGCGGUCUGUUAGGUCGGGAGUUAAAUCCGGGGGCUCAACCCCCGUCCGCUUCCGAUACCGGCAGACUUGAGUUUGGUAGGGGAAGGUGGAAUUCCUAGUGUAGCGGUGGAAUGCGCAGAUAUUAGGAAGAACACCAGUGGCGAAGGCGGCCUUCUGGGCCAACACUGACGCUGAUGAGCGAAAGCUAGGGGAGCGAACAGG